CCGGCGACCGGCGCACGGGUGAGUAACACGUAUGCAGCCUGCCCUCUUCAGGGGGACAACCUUCCGAAAGGGAGGCUAAUCCCGCGUAUAUCGGUUUCGGGCAUCCGAGAUCGAGGAAAGAUUCAUCGGAAGAGGAUGGGCAUGCGGCGCAUUAGCUAGACGGCGGGGUAACGGCCCACCGUGGCGACGAUGCGUAGGGGUUCUGAGAGGAAGGUCCCCCACACUGGUACUGAGACACGGACCAGACUCCUACGGAAGGCAGCAG
RNAcentral lists this ribosomal RNA (265 nucleotides) under uncultured bacterium. Its description in RNAcentral is "partial 16S ribosomal RNA". It matches the Rfam family "Bacterial small subunit ribosomal RNA", at positions 88 to 354 of the family's 1533-position model. The record is from RNAcentral.